UUGAAAAAGCCUAAAAAGGGUGCUCAUUAAAAUGUACCCAUGUUUAUUAGACAAUUCUCUAAAGUUAAAGAUAUAAUAGGUCCAUCAAAAGGAACUUUUCAGAGUCCUUAAAAAUUGCUCCUCCAUAUCUAAGCAGUAACAAGCAAUAACCAAAUAAAGUGAAACUUUGCUCUCUCUCUCCCUCAAUUGCUACAUAUCCAAAAUACACAAUUAGAAUGGAAUAAAAUUGGCACAUACCCAUCUGGAAAAACAUUGCCCCUAACGGG
RNAcentral lists this unclassified non-coding RNA (266 nucleotides) under Hevea brasiliensis (rubber tree). Lineage: Eukaryota; Viridiplantae; Streptophyta; Magnoliopsida; Malpighiales; Euphorbiaceae. The record is from RNAcentral.